UCCCUGGUGGCGCAAUUGGCUAGCGCGUCCGACUGUUAAUGCUUGCUAUCGGGAGGUUCACAGUUCAAGCCUGUGCCGGGGAG
Non-coding RNA from Saccharata proteae CBS 121410, 83 nucleotides. NCBI's taxonomy places the organism in Eukaryota, Fungi, Ascomycota, Dothideomycetes, Botryosphaeriales, Saccharataceae. The record is from the annotation of a GenBank genome assembly.